Molecule: transfer RNA, 73 nt
Filed under: Liolaemus nitidus
Lineage: Eukaryota; Metazoa; Chordata; Lepidosauria; Squamata
Description: tRNA-Asn
Source: RNAcentral
CUAGAUAGGCAGGCUUUGAUCCUACAAAGUUUUAGUUAACAGCUAAACACCCAAACCAGCGGGCUUCUAUCCG